UUUAGCCUACGGGACGCAGCAGUGGGGAAUAUUGGGCAAUGGGCGCAAGCCUGACCCAGCAACGCCGCGUGAAGGAAGAAGGCUUUCGGGUUGUAAACUUCUUUUGACAGGGAAGAGUAGAAGACGGUACCUGUCGAAUAAGCCACGGCUAACUACGUGCCAGCAGCCGCGGUAAUACGUAGGUGGCAAGCGUUGUCCGGAUUUACUGGGUGUAAAGGGCUGGUAGCCGGGUUGACAAGU
Molecule: ribosomal RNA, 240 nt
Filed under: uncultured bacterium
Lineage: Bacteria
Description: partial 16S ribosomal RNA
Rfam family: Bacterial small subunit ribosomal RNA
Source: RNAcentral